This 440-nucleotide ribosomal RNA is filed under the name uncultured bacterium. RNAcentral describes it as "bacterial SSU rRNA". It matches the Rfam family "Bacterial small subunit ribosomal RNA", at positions 338 to 795 of the family's 1533-position model. The record is from RNAcentral.
CCUACGGGGGGCAGCAGUGGGGAAUAUUGCACAAUGGGGGAAACCCUGAUGCAGCAACGCCGCGUGAGCGAAGAAGGCCUUCGGGUCGUAAAGCACUGUCCUAAGGGAAGAAGCAUGACGGUACCUUAGGAGGAAGCCCCGGCUAACUACGUGCCAGAAGCCGCGGUAAUAAGCAGGGGGGGAGCGUUAUACGGAAUCACUGGGAGUAAUGUGUGAGUAGACGGCCAAUUACGCAAGUGGUGAACGGCUACGGCGGAACGCUAGUAAGCGUUUGGAACUGAAUGGCUUGAGUGACGGAGAGGAGGUUGGAAGUCCUAGUGUAGCGGUGAAAUGCGUAGAUAUUAGGAGGAAGACCAGUGGCGAAGGUCACUCUAUGGACUGUAACUGACGCUGCGGCACGAAAGCGCGGGCAGGAAACAGGAUUAGGUAUCCGUGUAGUC